This 483-nucleotide small RNA is filed under the name Pongo abelii (Sumatran orangutan). RNAcentral describes it as "processed transcript". The record is from RNAcentral. Lineage: Eukaryota; Metazoa; Chordata; Mammalia; Primates; Hominidae.
AUAGUUUGUGGUAGACUAUUGAUACGCGGAGGAGUGGGUUUUCAGCUUAGAGCACGGUGAUAGGCUGCAAGUUUACCUGCUGACUCGUGAAGAGGAUGAACCAUCUUCCCCAACUGAUUUAAGCCAAACGAUCUCAAAGAAAACUGUCAGGAGCAUACAAGAGGCUCCAGCUGCUGUAGUUAGAGCAUUCAUUCUCCAGAUACUUACUGAGCACCUACUUUGUGCCAGUCUCCAUGCUUUGAUUUGAGGGUGCAGUGGUGAACAAAAGCAGACAAGUGAGGGAGCCUCCUACCAAAGAAGGAGAGUGAAGAUCUUGUAAUCAGCUUACGUCGACCCCCUCUAAGAUACCCAAGAUCUGAAGCCACCAGUGUCCAACAGAAGGUCAAUUUCUCUGAAGAAGGAGAAACUGAAGAUGAUCAAGACAGCUCUCACAGCAGUGUCACUACUGUUAAGUCCAGAUCCAGGGAUUCUGAUGAAUCUGGA